CGAGCGCAACCCUUGUCUUAUGUGCCAGCACGUGAUGGUGGGGACUCGUAAGAGACUGCCGGGGUCAACUCGGAGGAAGGUGGGGACGACGUCAAGUCAUCAUGCCCCUUAUGUCCAGGGCUUCACACAUGCUACAAUGGCCAGUACAGAGGGCUGCGAGACCGUGAGGUGGAGCGAAUCCCUUAAAGCUGGUCUCAGUUCGGAUCGGGGUCUGCAACUCGACCCCGUGAAGUCGGAGUCGCUAGUAAUCGCAGAUCAGCAACGCUGCGGUGAAUACGUUCCCGGGCCUU
This 290-nucleotide ribosomal RNA is filed under the name uncultured Rhodococcus sp. RNAcentral describes it as "partial 16S ribosomal RNA". It matches the Rfam family "Bacterial small subunit ribosomal RNA", at positions 1093 to 1382 of the family's 1533-position model. Lineage: Bacteria; Bacillati; Actinomycetota; Actinomycetes; Mycobacteriales; Nocardiaceae. The record is from RNAcentral.